GACACAAGCUCUUAAAGCUAGUAUUCCAAUUAUAUAUAUAUAUAUAUAUAUAUAUAUAUAUAUAUAUAUAUAUAUAUAUAUAUAUAUAUAUAUAUAUAUGUUCUGCUAAUUGGAAUACUAGCUUUAAGAGCGUGUGUC
This is a non-coding RNA of Paramuricea clavata, 138 nucleotides long. The record is from the annotation of a GenBank genome assembly. NCBI's taxonomy places the organism in Eukaryota, Metazoa, Cnidaria, Anthozoa, Malacalcyonacea, Plexauridae.